GGAAUUCGAUUAACGCGAAGAACCUUACUUGGGCUAGACAACGGCGGACUGUCCUAGAAAUAGGAUUUUCCCUUCGGGGACCGCCGGUUCAGGUGCUGCAUGGCUGUCGUCAGCUCGUGCCGUGAGGUGUUGGGUUAAGUCCCGCAACGAGCGCAACCCUCGUCCUUAGUUGCCACCAUUCAGUUGGGCACUCUAGGGGGACUGCCGGCGUUAAGCCGGAGGAAGGUGGGGACGACGUCAAGUCAUCAUGGCCCUUAUGUCCAGGGCCACACACGUGCUACAAUGGGCGGUACAAAGGGUCGCAAACCCGCGAGGGGGAGCCAAUCCCAAAAAGCCGCUCUCAGUUCGGAUUGGAGUCUGCAACUCGACUCCAUGAAGUUGGAAUCGCUAGUAAUCGCGGAUCAGCACGCCGCGGUGAAUACGUUCCCGGGCCUUGUCACACCGAAUCACUA
RNAcentral lists this ribosomal RNA (452 nucleotides) under uncultured soil bacterium. RNAcentral's name for it is "bacterial SSU rRNA". It matches the Rfam family "Bacterial small subunit ribosomal RNA", at positions 946 to 1384 of the family's 1533-position model. The record is from RNAcentral.